GUAUGGCUGUUCGCCAUUUAAAGUGGUACGCGAGCUGGGUUUAGAACGUCGUGAGACAGUUCGGUCCCUAUCUACCGUGCGCGUUUGAGAAUUGAAAGGGAUCUGCUCCUAGUACGAGAGGACCGGAGUGGACGUACCCCUGGUGUUCCGGUUGUUACGCCAGUAGCAUUGCCGGGUAGCUAUGUACGGAAGGGAUAACCGCUGAAAGCAUCUAAGCGGGAAGCCUACCCUGAGAUUAGUUCUCACUGGAUCCUUGAGAUCCCUAAAGGACCCUAGAAGACUACUAGGUUGAUAGGCUGGGUGUUGAAGCGUGGUAACAUGUGAAGCUAACCAGUACUAAUUGUCCGUGAGGUUUGACUAUAUAACGUCCAAG
This 373-nucleotide ribosomal RNA is filed under the name Gammaproteobacteria bacterium. RNAcentral describes it as "bacterial LSU rRNA". It matches the Rfam family "Bacterial large subunit ribosomal RNA", at positions 2571 to 2925 of the family's 2925-position model. Lineage: Bacteria; Pseudomonadati; Pseudomonadota; Gammaproteobacteria. The record is from RNAcentral.